RNAcentral lists this non-coding RNA (262 nucleotides) under Saccharibacillus sacchari. RNAcentral describes it as "T-box sequence". It matches the Rfam family "T-box leader". Rfam says of the family: Uncharged tRNA acts as the effector for transcription antitermination of genes in the T-box leader family. T-boxes are found upstream of many aminoacyl-tRNA synthetase genes and some amino acid biosynthetic genes usually in Gram-positive bacteria. The record is from RNAcentral. Lineage: Bacteria; Bacillati; Bacillota; Bacilli; Caryophanales; Paenibacillaceae.
GAAAACGCAAUGAACGGGAUCAGUAACCGAAAGCGGUCGUCAAGAGAGCUGCGGAUUUGGUGCGACGCAGUCGGCAUGUUCGGUGAAACUCACCCGGAAGCGGUCAAGCCCAAUGGUUCCCGCAGCCUCAAGCUGCAAAGGAAUCCCAAGUUUGAACGGACUCGCCCACGUGAGAGGGCCGACGAGCGGAUUUCGCUUUGUCCCAGGGACAAACGGAAUCAACGAGAGUGGUACCGCGACAGCACAGCCUGUCGUCUCUUGA